UUUAUGGAGAGUUUGAUCCUGGCUCAGGAUGAACGCUGGCGGCGUGCCUAAUACAUGCAAGUCGAGCGAACAGACGAGGAGCUUGCUCCUCUGACGUUAGCGGCGGACGGGUGAGUAACACGUGGAUAACCUACCUAUAAGACUGGGAUAACUUCGGGAAACCGGAGCUAAUACCGGAUAAUAUAUUGAACCGCAUGGUUCAAUAGUGAAAGACGGUUUUGCUGUCACUUAUAGAUGGAUCCGCGCCGCAUUAGCUAGUUGGUAAGGUAACGGCUUACCAAGGCAACGAUGCGUAGCCGACCUGAGAGGGUGAUCGGCCACACUGGAAC
Molecule: ribosomal RNA, 329 nt
Filed under: Streptococcus equi subsp. zooepidemicus
Lineage: Bacteria; Bacillati; Bacillota; Bacilli; Lactobacillales; Streptococcaceae
Also listed under: 1 other name
Description: bacterial SSU rRNA
Rfam family: Bacterial small subunit ribosomal RNA
Source: RNAcentral